ACGAAAAGACGGUGUGACGCGGCUUCCGUGGGCCCGACAUUGCUUGUCUCGGAAUCCGGUGGGCCAAGUCGCGUCAACCAAUCAAAUCGCAGAGUGUCUACAUCGGGAGACGGGGAGAGUGGGUGACAUGUACUUUUCGAGUUGGCGUCCGAAGGUUGAUUUGAGGCUCGCGGUCGUUUUCGUGCUUUCCACGAAACAUGUACCGCUCCGCGUUCGUAUCACGAUUCCUAGCUUCCGGCCACGUGUUACG
RNAcentral lists this long non-coding RNA (250 nucleotides) under Musa acuminata (dwarf banana). RNAcentral describes it as "long non-coding RNA (MACU_LNC000878)". The record is from RNAcentral. Lineage: Eukaryota; Viridiplantae; Streptophyta; Magnoliopsida; Zingiberales; Musaceae.